This 403-nucleotide ribosomal RNA is filed under the name bacterium. RNAcentral's name for it is "partial 16S ribosomal RNA". It matches the Rfam family "Bacterial small subunit ribosomal RNA", at positions 355 to 776 of the family's 1533-position model. The record is from RNAcentral.
UGGGGAAUAUUGCACAAUGGAGGGAACUCUGAUGCAGCGACGCCGCGUGAACGAAGAAGGCUUUCGAGUCGUAAAGUUCUUUUAUAUGGGAAGAUAAUGACGGUACCAUAAGAAGAGGCCCCGGCUAACUACGUGCCAGCAGCCGCGGUAAUACGUAGGGGGCUAGCGUUGUCCGGAAUCACUGGGCGUAAAGGGUUCGCAGGCGGAAAUGCAAGUCAGGUGUAAAAGGCAGUAGCUUAACUACUGUAAGCAUUUGAAACUGCAUAUCUUGAGAAGAGUAGAGGUAAGUGGAAUUUUUAGUGUAGCGGUGAAAUGCGUAGAUAUUAAAAAGAAUACCGGUGGCGAAGGCGACUUACUGGGCUCAUUCUGACGCUGAGGAACGAAAGCGUGGGUAGCAAACAGG